CCGCGUUGACCCUGCCUCUAGCGCCCCGCUUCCUCUCUAAGGCCCAGAUCCCACCCCAACCGGCCUGCUUCCGCCAAGGCCCAGGGUGAGCAGCCCCCGGCCUUUUCCUCUGUUGGGCUUCCUAUUCAGAUGCGGGCCGUAUCUUGUUUUUUCCAGUUUUGUGAAUUUGCUAAUUAUUCCAGGAAAACUGCAUAUUUACAUAUUGCACCCUCAUGUUCAUGCAUAUGAUAACUUCAUAACCGUGCAUCGGAUUAAAACAAACUAAAUAUGUAACAUGCUUAGAAUUUUAUCUAGUUUCAUAAUAUGCUGCUUUCAUCCAUGUUAAAAAUGUUUAAGUUGUUGUUUGCAUUAUUUUUCUCAAAAUGUCAUGUUAAAAUGGUUUAUUUCAUAACUAAAUAACCGUAGCUCCGAAUUAAAUAAACUUUAUAUGUAAAUGGGGUGGAAAAUGCAUAGAUUAACAUGGUGUCAUUACUUUGCAUGUUUAACAACUCUAAAAUUGUGUAUAGGGCAGAAUACUAGCAAAUUCGACAUAUGCAUAUGGGGAUUUUCCGAAAUUGUUGUUUGUUAUUUCCGGCCUCAUUUAAACUUGCCUAAAUAGUUAGUUUAGUUAUGCUUCACCUCUUGCCAUGUUUAACAAUAUUUAAUAUUGUUGGGUACAUAAAGGAGAGGGAACUAAAUAAUCGAAUGUGGUGUUUCAUCAAUAUGCAACCCGUUGCAUAUUGAGCUUCACUUAAUUUGAAGUAUUGUUUGUUACACUUUGCCAUGCCAUGCCUUAUUAAACCGGACAUGAAUCAUACUUGAUUGUGCAUCAUGCCAUGAUUAUGCUUGUUGGUUUACUGUGUUGUUUUCUUCUUUCUGGUUGUGCUUCUUCUCGGUAGUACCGGUAAUGUUGCAAUUGUGAGGAUUCGUUCGACUACAUUGGUUCAUCUACUUCAGGGAUUCGGUCUUCUUCCUAGCGGGAUUUCAGGCAAGAUGACUGUUACCCUAGAUAUCACUACUAUCUUUGCUUUGCUAGUUUUCUCGAUGCUAUUGCUAUGUCGCGCUACCUACCACUUGUUUAUCAAGCCUCCCAAAUUGCCAUGAUAAGCCUCUAACCUUUUCCACCAUCCCAGCAUACCGUCGUUUGGCUAUGUUACCGCUUUGCUCAGCCCCUCUUAUAGCGUUGCUAGUUGCAGGCGCAGUAUCAGGUUAUCCAUGUUCGGACAUAGCUAUCAUGGGAUAUCACAAAAUCUCUUAUUUAAUUAAUGCAUCUAUAUACUUGGUAAAGGGUGGAAGGCUUAGCCUUUUGCUUGAUGUUUUCUUCCACUCCUGCCGCCCUAGUUUCCGUCAUACCAAUGUUAUGUUCCUUGAUUUUGCGUUCCUAACACGGUCGGGGUUUAUGGACCCCCUUAACAAUUCGCUUAAAAUAAAACUCUUCCAACAAGGCCCAACUUUGGUUUUACCAUUUGCCUAAUAACAACUAAAACUUGCAUAGGGACUUACCGGUACCCGAGGAUAAUUAAUCAAAAACUCGGGCCAAUGCUCCUCAUGAGUGUUGGUCCAAACUAGGUGAUGUCCGGCGCCCCCUGGGCAACUAGGGUCUCAGCCAACCCGACGUCUUGCCCAUUCGGUGUGCCCUGAGAAUGAGAUACGUGCGACCCCUAUCAGGAUUGUCGAUACAUCGGGUGGUGUUGUUGGUUUUGUUUUACCAUUGUUGAAAUGUCUUGUGAACCGGGAUUCCGAGCUUGAUCAGGUUGUUUCAGAAUGGAGGAUUUUCCUCCGCGGAUCAUGAGAGUUUGUGAUGGACUAAGUUGGGACACCCCUGCAGGGUUUAAUCUUUUCGAGAGCCGUGCCCAGGGUUAUGUGGAAGAUGGGAAAUUUAUAAUAUCCGGUUGUAGAGAACUUGACACCAGAUCCGAAUUGAAAUACACCAACUGUGUGCAUAACCGUGACCGUGUCUUUUUGAGUGAAUUUGAGAAGAGAACACGGUGGGGUUAUGAUUGACUCGUAAGUAGUUUAGGAUCACUUCUUGAUCAUUACUAGAUUGCGACCGUUAUGCGUAGUUUCUCUUCUUAUUCUUGUACUCAUAAGUUAGCCACCAUACAAAUGCGUAGUGUUGCUGCAACCUCACCACUUAUCCAUUCCAUACCCAUUAAGCUUUGCUAGUCUUGAUACCCAUGAUGAUGGGAUUGCUGAGUCCUCGUGGCUCACAAAUUACUACAACAACAUCUGCAGGUACAGGUAAUGCGAUGCUAUGACGUGAGAGCGAUGCUUGCUUGUUUUGGAGUUCUUCUUCUGCUUCUUCUUCGAUCAAGGGAUAGGUUCCGGGUCGGGAGCCUGGGAUUAGUAGGGUAGGUGUCGUUCUUCUUUUUCGUUUGAUUUCAUUCGUAGUCGGAUACUGCUCUUUUGUAUGAUGAUUGCUAUGUAUUGAUGAACUGUUGUAUUCAUGUUGUAGCUUGUGGCGAGUGUAAGCCUUUAUCUUGUAUUCUCAUCUAUUCAGCACAUGGUAUGUUGUAAUGAUAUCCACCUUGCUAUGCGCUCGAAAUGCGGUUGUGCUCCAAUCAUGAAUUCAUCACGUGAUUGGGAUAGAAUCACAUCUUGGACGCUACAUAAUGAUAGCAGGUAUGUAGUGUCGAUGCUACAAUCUGAG
RNAcentral lists this long non-coding RNA (2629 nucleotides) under Triticum aestivum (bread wheat). RNAcentral describes it as "long non-coding RNA (TAES_LNC014717)". Lineage: Eukaryota; Viridiplantae; Streptophyta; Magnoliopsida; Poales; Poaceae. The record is from RNAcentral.